GACGAACGCUGGCGGCGUGCUUAAUACAUGCAAGUCAACGACUUUUAGAGUAGCAAUAUUUUAAAAGGAGUGGCGCACGGGUGAGUAACACGUAGGUAAUCUGCCUUCAGGACUGACACAACUCGUCGAAAGACGGGCUAAUAUCAGAUAAUGCAGCGGCUCCGCAUGGAGACAGUUGUUAAAGUACAAGCGCCUGAAGAUGAGCCUGCGGUCCAUUAGCUAGUUGGUAGAGUAACAGCCUACCAAGGCAACGAUGGAUAGCUGGUCUGAGAGGAUGAUCAGCCACACUGGAACUGAGACACGGUCCAGACUCCUACGGGAGGCAGCAGUAAGGAAUAUUGCUCAAUGGCCGAAAGGCUGAAGCAGCAACGCCGCGUGAAGGAUGAAUGGCCUUUGGCCCUGUAAACUUCUGUAAAAAGGGAAAACAAUCAGGCAUGUCCUGAUUUGAUUGUACCUUUGAAGUAAGCCCCGGCUAAC
RNAcentral lists this ribosomal RNA (477 nucleotides) under uncultured bacterium. RNAcentral describes it as "bacterial SSU rRNA". It matches the Rfam family "Bacterial small subunit ribosomal RNA", at positions 28 to 501 of the family's 1533-position model. The record is from RNAcentral.